Molecule: ribosomal RNA, 253 nt
Filed under: uncultured bacterium
Lineage: Bacteria
Description: partial 16S ribosomal RNA
Rfam family: Bacterial small subunit ribosomal RNA
Source: RNAcentral
UACAGAGGUCCCAAGCGUUGUUCGGAUUCACUGGGCGUAAAGGGUGCGCAGGUGGCGGGGUAAGUUUGAUGUGAAAUCUCCGGGCUCAACCCGGAAAAUGCAUUGAAUACUAUCCUGCUAGAGGGUUGGAGGGGAGACUGGAAUUCUCGGUGUAGCAGUGAAAUGCGUAGAUAUCGAGAGGAACACCAGUGGCGAAGGCGAGUCUCUGGACAACUCCUGACACUGAGGCACGAAAGCUAGGGGAGCAAACAGG